RNAcentral lists this ribosomal RNA (230 nucleotides) under uncultured bacterium. RNAcentral describes it as "partial 16S ribosomal RNA". It matches the Rfam family "Bacterial small subunit ribosomal RNA", at positions 562 to 791 of the family's 1533-position model. The record is from RNAcentral.
AAAGCGUGUGCAGGCGGUUAUAUAAGACAGAUGUGAAAUCCCCGGGCUCAACCUGGGAACUGCAUUUGUGACUGUAUAGCUGGAGUGCGGCAGAGGGGGAUGGAAUUCCGCGUGUAGCAGUGAAAUGCGUAGAUAUGCGGAGGAACACCGAUGGCGAAGGCAAUCCCCUGGGCCUGCACUGACGCUCAUGCACGAAAGCGUGGGGAGCAAACAGGAUUAGAUACCCGGGU